RNAcentral lists this ribosomal RNA (422 nucleotides) under uncultured bacterium. RNAcentral's name for it is "partial 16S ribosomal RNA". It matches the Rfam family "Bacterial small subunit ribosomal RNA", at positions 360 to 774 of the family's 1533-position model. The record is from RNAcentral.
AAUAUUGGACAAUGGGGGCAACCCUGAUUCAGCCAUGCCGCGUGUGUGAAGAAGGUCUUCGGAUUGUAAAGCACUUUAAGUUGGGAGGAAGGGCUUUAGGCUAAUACCCUGAAGUUUUGACUUUACCUACAGAAUAAGCACCGGCUAACUCUGUCCCAGCAGCCGCGGUAAUACAGAGGGUGCAAGCGUUAUUCGGAAGUACUGGGCGUAAAUAGCGCGUAGGUGGUUCAGUAAGAUGGGUGUGAAAUCCCCGGGCUUAACCUGGGAAGUGCUUUCAUAACUGCUGAGCUAGAGUACGGUAGAGGGUAGUGGAAUUUCCUGUGUAGCGGUGAAAUGCGUAGAUAUAGGAAGGAACACCAGUGGCGAAGGCGACUACCUGGACUGAUACUGACACUGAGGUGCGAAAGCGUGGGGAACAAACA